Molecule: long non-coding RNA, 437 nt
Filed under: Ornithorhynchus anatinus (platypus)
Lineage: Eukaryota; Metazoa; Chordata; Mammalia; Monotremata; Ornithorhynchidae
Description: lncRNA (ENSOANG00000042503.1)
Source: RNAcentral
AUGAAGCCGACGAGGUACUGGAGUGAGCCGGAAGGGGAAAUGGAGGGUGUAGUGUAGCUGGGGAGCUCACUGUGGCCUUUCACUUUCCCUCCCAGGCCAGAAACCCGGUUGGGCGUGCCGGGCCUCCCCCGGCCAUCUCGGGCGAGCUGGAGGCUGCUGCCCGCCCCUCGGCGGGUCUACCCCGUGCUUGACAGAGCCCAGUCGAGCGAGGAGGAGCUGCCCGUUUGCUGCAUGCUGCUGCUCGGCUUUGAGGAGCCUCUCGCUUCUUCUCCUGUGGGCAGCCUCCCCCGGCAGCUUUUCCGCCUUCCUGAGUGAACUGCGCUGCUACCCCCAGAGCGAAGGGAGGAUGGGUGUGUGUGUGUGUGUCUGGGUCAAUCCUGGGCGGAAACAGGGAGAUGAGGCCGAGGCCGCUCCGGGGAGACCAGGGGCCCGGCCUC